UGUUAAUGGAAUAUGGGAGGCUGAAUGCCGAUUUCCCAUUGGCUGGUGAAGGUCUUUAACUGCUAGGGAAGACCAGCACAGUAAACAGGAAGUCAUCUCCAUGGCAACUGGCCAUUCAACUUAACUUUUUAACACACGAAGAGGUUGGAAGAUGAAACCAAGGGAAGACAGGACUGAAGGCCACGCAGGGCAGGACUCAGAACCUGAGGAUGCAGGAGGCUCGGAGACCAGGGAACGUUCUGUUGGAGGCAAUCAACAAUCCUUGGGAACUCACCACAGGAGCCAGAGUCCAAGGCAGCUUCCCUGGCCUUUGCCCACCCGGGAAAAUUUGUCUUCCCUACUAGGAGUAAUCAAUCAGGCAAGAUUCACUGGCAGAAAAAAAAGAAGAAGAAGAAGAGGAAGAAGCCACAACAAAUCUCUUUGCCUGUGACAAAAAAUUACUUGGAUGCCCAUUUUAUUUGGAGGAAGCAACAGGUACUGUCGGUAACAAAGUGGAUGUGUAUUUAAAGCAGGUGACAAAAAGGCUCACGUUGAAAAUCUCUCGUACUCCUAAUAUCCAGUGCAGAUCCAGACAAAAAAGUAAAAGAAAAGCCAAUGAGUGUCUCCCUCAAAAGAAAAGAAUCCAGUCUGAAGGGCGAGAGCUAAGAUGAGUCAUGCCAGUCUGUGUCUUCAUACGGCAGCUCCUUUUGUGUCACCACCAGCCCCAUACCCCUAAGUGGACCGGAAAGAGUCAGCAACAUCCACUGAGCCCGGGGUGUACCGAGAAUCUCGAGGCCCAGGGUCACGACCACUGCCUGCCUGGACAUUUACAUCACUGUCUACACAGGCAAAGAGAAGUGGCCAGAAACCACCUGCUUCAUGGUGGCUCCAUCCAAACCUGUUAUCAAGGAAUGAAUCUUCU
RNAcentral lists this long non-coding RNA (901 nucleotides) under Vulpes vulpes (red fox). RNAcentral describes it as "lncRNA (ENSVVUG00000026742.1)". The record is from RNAcentral. Lineage: Eukaryota; Metazoa; Chordata; Mammalia; Carnivora; Canidae.